UGUAAAAUUCUUUCUUUCGAUUGGUCAAUCAAAUGCUUUGAAGCAUUUGUAGCGCUAAGGGUGGGUUCCACUUAACAUCCGCAACGCUCGUGUGUAUUAUUUCAUUGUUUAAUAUCUAUAAGACCGGAAUC
Long non-coding RNA from Mycetomoellerius zeteki, 131 nucleotides. RefSeq lists it as uncharacterized. The transcript is spliced from 3 exons. Lineage: Eukaryota; Metazoa; Arthropoda; Insecta; Hymenoptera; Formicidae. The record is from RefSeq and is a predicted model, not a curated record.